UGACCCCAGGUUAGGUAAGAGC
RNAcentral lists this ribosomal RNA (22 nucleotides) under Cycas multipinnata. Its description in RNAcentral is "partial ribosomal RNA". Lineage: Eukaryota; Viridiplantae; Streptophyta; Cycadopsida; Cycadales; Cycadaceae. The record is from RNAcentral.